UUUUUGAAAGCGAAAUCUCGCACUAAGUUUCGACCUUAGCUAUGAACUUUUUUCUCAAAAAA
Molecule: transfer RNA, 62 nt
Filed under: Bulinus nasutus
Lineage: Eukaryota; Metazoa; Mollusca; Gastropoda; Planorbidae
Description: tRNA-Arg
Source: RNAcentral